This 253-nucleotide ribosomal RNA is filed under the name uncultured bacterium. RNAcentral's name for it is "partial 16S ribosomal RNA". It matches the Rfam family "Bacterial small subunit ribosomal RNA", at positions 524 to 776 of the family's 1533-position model. The record is from RNAcentral.
UACAGAGGUGGCAAGCGUUGUUCGGAAUUACUGGGCGUAAAGGGCGCGUAGGCGGCCUUCUAAGUCAGACGUGAAAUCCCCCGGCUUAACCUGGGAACUGCGUCUGAUACUGGAGGGCUUGAGUAUGGGAGAGGGAUGUAGAAUUCCAGGUGUAGCGGUGAAAUGCGUAGAUAUCUGGAGGAAUACCGGUGGCGAAGGCGGCAUCCUGGACCAUUACUGACGCUGAGGCGCGAAAGCGUGGGGAGCGAACGGG